Long non-coding RNA from Cercocebus atys (sooty mangabey), 337 nucleotides. RefSeq lists it as uncharacterized. Lineage: Eukaryota; Metazoa; Chordata; Mammalia; Primates; Cercopithecidae. The record is from RefSeq and is a predicted model, not a curated record. The transcript is spliced from 2 exons.
CUGUCGUUGGAGAAACAGCUGACAAUGACGGUGAUGACUCGGAAGGCACCUGACAUUACCUGGAGACAGCUAAAGAAACUGGAUCAACAGGCAUCUAUUCAGCUUGCAGACGUGGAAGGCCCUGCAACUGCAGAGAAUUGGUUUCUUGUGUAUCUGAUGGUAAUUAGGGAAACUUCUGAGAAAGUAAGACAGACAUGGAUGUUGGGGUGGCUGGCAUUUGCAGAAGGCCCUAUACUGCCACCUGAUGCAUCUAUGACCAGGGAAGAAUGAUAGAAGCUUACCUUGCAUGAGAUGACCAGCAAGCUUUAAGAAUUAAAAAAGGGGGAGAUAUGGGGGG